AUUGAACGCUGGCGGCAUGCUUUACACAUGCAAGUCGAACGGCAGCGCGGGCUUCGGCCUGGCGGCGAGUGGCGAACGGGUGAGUAAUGCAUCGGAACGUGCCCAGUAGUGGGGGAUAGCCCGGCGAAAGCCGGAUUAAUACCGCAUACGACCUGAGGGUGAAAGCGGGGGACCGAAAGGCCUCGCGCUAUUGGAGCGGCCGAUGUCGGAUUAGCUAGUUGGUGGGGUAAAGGCUUACCAAGGCGACGAUCCGUAGCUGGUCUGAGAGGACGACCAGCCACACUGGGACUGGGACGCGGCCCAGGCUCCUACGGGAGGCAGCAGUGGGGAAUUUUGGACAAUGGGGGCAACCCUGAUCCAGCCAUGCCGCGUGCGGGAAGAAGGCCUUCGGGUUGUAAACCGCUUUUGUUCGGGAAGAAAUCCUCUGGGCUAAUACCCCGGGGGGAUGACGGUACCGGAAGAAUAAGCACCGGCUAACUACGUG
Molecule: ribosomal RNA, 484 nt
Filed under: uncultured bacterium
Lineage: Bacteria
Description: partial 16S ribosomal RNA
Rfam family: Bacterial small subunit ribosomal RNA
Source: RNAcentral